This 868-nucleotide non-coding RNA is filed under the name Perkinsela sp. CCAP 1560/4. Its description in RNAcentral is "Eukaryotic large subunit ribosomal RNA". It matches the Rfam family "Eukaryotic large subunit ribosomal RNA", at positions 1 to 862 of the family's 3401-position model. Lineage: Eukaryota; Euglenozoa; Kinetoplastea; Prokinetoplastida; Perkinselidae. The record is from Rfam by way of RNAcentral.
AGGCCUGAGGCGCGGUCGACCACCCGCUGAACUUAAGCAUAUCAUUAAGCGGAGGAAAAGAAAACAACCGUGAUUCCCCUAGUAGCGGCGAGCGAAGCGGGAGAAGCCCAAUCCGAAUCGGCGCAGCCGAGUUGUGGAGUAGUGAGGACGCCGGGGCGGACGUCGCGUGCACCAAAGUCUUCCUGGAAAGGAGCGCCAGAGAGGGUGAUAGCCCCGUGUACGUGCGCGCGCGCCCGCGCGACCCGGUGUCUGCGGAGUAGUACUGCUUGGGAAUGCAGUGCGAACGGCAGGUAUACCUCUGCCAAGGCUAAAUAUCAUGGGGAGACCGAUAGCGAACAAGUAGCGUGAGCGAAAGAUGAAAAGCACUUUGGAGAGAGAGUGAAACAGCACCUGAAGCUGUUGUGAGGUAAGGGAUGGAUCACUAUCCAAGGCGGCGCGACGCGCGUCUCUGCGGGGGCGCGCCCCUCGCGCCGCCACGCCUGCCGCCGCCUCCUCGACCGGAGCGCGGUGCCCCCUCGGGGUCACGCGCGCGGCUACCGGAACGGGAGCGCGAGCUACCUUCACGGCGCGCCGGACAACUGCCGGCGCGGCGCCAGGCAGGCUUCGAGAUGCCCCCCGGGGCACGAUGGGAUUCAUCCGCCCGUCUUGAAACACGGACCAAGGAGUCUAACAAGUGUGCGAGUCAUAUACCUUCACGGUAUGCGGCGCACUGAAAGGGCAGCGUGCGCAUGCACGCGUCGUGUGAGUCUCCCCGGAGACGCAACACGGGCCGAGUCGUGGCGAAGGGCCGCGACCUUGAGCUUGAGCAUAUAUGUUGGGACCCGAAAGGUGGUGACCUAUGCCUGAAUAGGAUGAAGCCGAGGGAAAC